CAAUAGCGUAUAUUAAAGCUGUUGCGGUUAAAAAGCUCGUAGUUGGAUUUCUGUCAAGGACAACUGGUCCGCCCUCCGGGUGAGCACAUAGUUUGGUCUUGACAUCUUGCUGGAAGCUGUUGCUGCACUUGGCUGUGUGGCGCAGUGUUCAGCACUUUCACUUUGAGGAAAUUGGAGUGUUUCAAGCAGGCACAUGCCUUUGGACACAGUAGCAUGGAAUAAUUAGAUUGGGCUUUUGCUCCAACUUGUCGGUUUCUGGAGCUGAGGUGAGAAUUAAUGGGGAUUGUUGGGGGCAUCCGAAUUUAGCCGUCAGAGGUGAAAUUCUUGGAUCUGCUAAAGACGGACAACUGCGAAAGCGUUUGCCCAGGAUGUUUUCAUUGA
RNAcentral lists this ribosomal RNA (381 nucleotides) under uncultured eukaryote. RNAcentral's name for it is "partial 18S ribosomal RNA". It matches the Rfam family "Eukaryotic small subunit ribosomal RNA", at positions 592 to 976 of the family's 1831-position model. The record is from RNAcentral.